CUCCACUCAAUUUGGUCUCCGAACUUCGGAUUAUUCACUUUUUUUGAUUUCUUCCGAGCAUUCCUCAUCUUUAACUGAUGUUUCCUCCGAAUUGGCGACCUGCAUUGCUUACGACUACUAUAUAUGCAUAAAUCAGAUACCACAAAAGGGAGAUAUAUAAUAGAUAAACAUAUAUAUAUACAUAUAGAGAGAGAGAGAGACUUUUAGAAAGAGAGUGAAAAGAAAGAAUUGAAAACUUCAGAUGAUGUCUUGCAGGAAUCUGGAGGCUAGGGUUAGGGUUGAGAGGCUUGAGUGAGAGAUCAGUGGACAAGAUUCGGGACGAUGGCGCAUAUAUACACACACACGAAUGUAUAUAUGCGUAUGUAUGUCACUGUAGAGGGAGAGAAUAGACGGAGAUUGGGAGCGGGAGAACAGAAACAGAACCGCUCCUUUUACAGAGAGAGAAACC
RNAcentral lists this long non-coding RNA (448 nucleotides) under Actinidia chinensis (golden kiwifruit). RNAcentral describes it as "long non-coding RNA (ACHI_LNC005675)". Lineage: Eukaryota; Viridiplantae; Streptophyta; Magnoliopsida; Ericales; Actinidiaceae. The record is from RNAcentral.